RNAcentral lists this long non-coding RNA (2611 nucleotides) under Prunus persica (peach). RNAcentral's name for it is "long non-coding RNA (PPER_LNC005646)". The record is from RNAcentral. Lineage: Eukaryota; Viridiplantae; Streptophyta; Magnoliopsida; Rosales; Rosaceae.
CGAUCUGAAAUUUCUUGGGUAGGGUUGGGAUUCAAUUUUCUCAAUUUGGGGAUUUCCAGAUUCCGAACAGCAGCUCCUUCCAAACUUCUCAAUUCCCGAAAAUACGAGAGGUGAAUUUUUCAUUUUUAUUAUUUGUUGUGUUCUUCUCUUGCGUGAGUAUCAAUCUUCUUGGUAUAUAUAUAUAUAUAUAUAUAUAUAUAUAUAUUUUCCGAUCCGAUUGGUUUAUUUUUGUGUUCAAUUCUUGGGUUUGUCUGUUUUGUCCUUGUUAACCCCCAAAUUUCUUUUUCUUUUUUUGGCAUUUUGGUAAGCUUGUUGAUCGUCGUGUGGUGCGACAGUUUUCAGAAUUCGUGCUUUUUGUUUUUUGUUCUUUUGAUUUUUAAUUUUUCGAUUUUAUGUGUCUUUUUAAUUGAUUUCUGAGUGCAACUACAAUUUGGGAUUCUUAACCUUUUCUACUUUCUAAUUAGGGUUUUGGUAAAGAAAUCUUUUUAUUUGCCUAAUGCAUGUGUUAAUUAACAACACAUCUACAAUCAAUUUGCUCCAACCUGGGAGAAUCAUAAAUUUUCAUUUGCUUGUUUUAUGUGCAAUGGUGAGUAUUUAAACUAGAUUUUUUAGCUCAAGGGGAAGGAAGAAAAUGGGAAGAUAAAAAUUAAAAUUACGGAGCUGAGGGUUCUGUCAAGUUGAUGCCUUCAAACUUAUGUUUUACUAAUUGAUGCCUUGAAAAUUAGAGUUUCAAUUUUUGGUACUAAGAAAUAAUUUUGCAAUGCUGGUUAUAUUCCCCAAUGAGCUACCUUUAGAUGGUGUUAUCAAGUGUUUUACUCCCUUCAAAGAUCAAGGAUGAGAUUCGUGUUUGGGUGCUUGAUUGUUACUUUUGACAUUGAAUUUUAUAUCAGCCUUUACAGACUCCUUUUUCUUGUAUUAGACAGAACUUGUAUUGCUAUAGCCCAUAUCGGUCGGCGAGUUUUGUGCAGUUUGAGACACUGAGUGCCACAUAUUUAUGAUAUUCAAUUAAAUUGAACAUUAACUCAGGGACUCGCAUAUUGUAGUCAAGCUCGCAUGCCCUGUGAUAUGUAUAGAUAAAUUACAUUAUGUUGUAAAUAUAUAAGGUGGAGCUCACCUCCAAUUGGAAGGAGCUUUGCCUACAAAAGGGUUCACUCUUCUCUUUAUAAUGCCAGAUUGAUAAUACUAAGAGAGGAACCAAUUCAAGGGUUUUUCUCUACUUCUAAAUUCUCUCUCAAAUUUCUUGGUUUUCUAACACGUUAUCAGCACGAAAAGCUUUAUUUUAUCGCACAUUUAUUUAUACUACUAACCAUUGUAUAAUAUAUAUAUAUAUAUAUAUAUAUGAAAAGUUGAUGGUAAUAUAAUAUGCUAUAUCUAUUUACUUUUCUAUUACUAACCACUAACAAAAAAUGGACCUUUGGUAAUACUAAACAUAUUAUCAGUGGGAGACCGUUACUAAUACUAACAUUUUUUUUAUUUUAUUUGGUGGUGGUUUUAACCCCUUAUUUAUUUUAAUUACUGUAUGGUGUAGUUUUAUUACCCAUACGACAAUAUUUAUUUAAAAGGGUGGCGCGGGUUUAUCGUCCACGCCUUUCUUUUUAUUUAAGAUAUGGUGCGGAAUUAACGUCCAUAUAGCAAGUAAUUUAUUUUAUCGCACAUUUAAUUUUAUUUAAGAUAUGGUGCGGAAUUAACGUCCAUAUAGCAAGCAAUUUAUUUUACCGCACAUUUAAUUGUAUUUAAGAUAUGGUGCGCAAUUAACGUUCAUAUAGCAAGCAAUUUAUUUUAUCGCACAUUUACUUUUACUUAAAGUAUGAUGAGGAAUUAACCCUCAUACUUUAUGAAUUUACUUUACCGCACAUUUACUUUUAUUUAACGUAUGAUGCGGGUUUAUCGUCCAUACAAGCAAUUCAUUUACCAAUAAUUUAAUUUACAAGCAAUUUAUUUUAUGGAUUAAUUGUGUUGUAUGAUGAGUUUUUUUUUACAAGGAUACAGAUCAAAACCAGAAGUUUCUUGAUCCUCAUCAUACAAUUACAUCAGGACUUGAAGAUCCUUGAUGAUGAUAUUGAUAUGAGAGCUAGCAGUCUCUCCAGUACUAUAUUUGUAAACAUGUGAUCGGACUUGAGGGUCCUUGAUUCUUGAUAUGUAAAUAAGGACAUGGGGUUCCUUAAAUGAUGUAACAAUACUAUAUUGGUUAAUAGUGCCGUACACAUAAAAAUAACUGUAUUGGCAAAUGUACUGUACACAUGAAUAGUGCCAUAUACAUAAAUAGUGAUGUAUGCAUAAAUAUUUACCAUUUUGGGUAACUGUCACUAUUCAAAAGGGAACCUGCAGUUCCUUAAACUCAUGGAUGAGCAAUUAAAUAAGAUGUCAGAAGUUCCUCAAGAUAUGGACAAUUAUGUAAGGGCUUGAAGUCCAGAAAUAUGUACAGAAAAUUGUAAAAAUGUCCAUACCAUGAGAAUAUGUGAUUUUGGCUUGAGGUUCAAAAUCUAACAGUAUUGAGAACCUGAAGUUCCAACAAUUAAAUGGACAACCCUUGAGUUAUUAUUGGAAAUUGUGGUACGCCACAUAUUUCUUUGGCAUAAGAGAAUGAUGAAUUUAAUAAAGUUCGAUUCUG